This 325-nucleotide RNase P RNA is filed under the name Chitinophagales bacterium. RNAcentral describes it as "RNase P RNA component class A". It matches the Rfam family "Bacterial RNase P class A". From Rfam's summary of the family: Ribonuclease P (RNase P) is a ubiquitous endoribonuclease, found in archaea, bacteria and eukarya as well as chloroplasts and mitochondria. Its best characterised activity is the generation of mature 5'-ends of tRNAs by cleaving the 5'-leader elements of precursor-tRNAs. The record is from RNAcentral. Lineage: Bacteria; Pseudomonadati; Bacteroidota; Chitinophagia; Chitinophagales.
AUUGCAGGUCGAUCUAUCGUCUCAUGAAAAUGGGAAGGAAAGUCCGAACAGCAUAGAGCAGUUUGACAGUUAACGGCUGUCUCGCCUCAGGCGGGAGAAAGUGCCACAGAAAAUAGUCUCGAUUUUUUUCGAGAGUGAAAAUAUAAGUUUGUAGUAAUACAUUCUUUUCGGUAAACCUCAAACGCUGAAACAUCAUGUAAACCAACGCUCAUAUACGGUGGCUCGCCUAAUGUUGGAGGGUAGAUGGAUAGAUUUCGAUAGCGAUAUCGGAACCAGAUAAAUGAUAGAUUAGAAACAGAAUUCGGCUUACGAGCCUGCUUUUUUA